Molecule: ribosomal RNA, 492 nt
Filed under: uncultured bacterium
Lineage: Bacteria
Description: partial 16S ribosomal RNA
Rfam family: Bacterial small subunit ribosomal RNA
Source: RNAcentral
AGUGAACGCUGGCGGUAGGCCUAACACAUGCAAGUCGAACGGCAGCACAGUAAGAGCUUGCUCUUACGGGUGGCGAGUGGCGGACGGGUGAGGAAUACAUCGGAAUCUACUUUUUCGUGGGGGAUAACGUAGGGAAACUUACGCUAAUACCGCAUACGACCUACGGGUGAAAGCAGGGGAUCUUCGGACCUUGCGCGAUUGAAUGAGCCGAUGUCGGAUUAGCUAGUUGGCGGGGUAAAGGCCCACCAAGGCGACGAUCCGUAGCUGGUCUGAGAGGAUGGUCAGCCACACUGGAACUGAAACACGGUCAAGACUCCUACGGGAGGAAGCAGUGGGGAAGAUUGGACAAUGGGCGCAAGCCUGAUCCAGCCAUACCGCGUGGGUGAAGAAGGCCUUCGGGUUGUAAAGCCUUUUUGUUGGGAAAGAAAAGCAGCAGGUUAAUACCCCGCUGUUCUGACGGUACCCAAAGAAUAAGCCCCGGCUAACUUCGUG